This 764-nucleotide ribosomal RNA is filed under the name uncultured bacterium. RNAcentral's name for it is "bacterial SSU rRNA". It matches the Rfam family "Bacterial small subunit ribosomal RNA", at positions 1 to 813 of the family's 1533-position model. The record is from RNAcentral.
CUUAGACUUUGAUCCUGGCUCAGGAUGAACGCUGGCGGUAUGCUUAACACAUGCAAGUCGAACGGUGUCUUCGGACAUAGUGGCGGACGGGUGAGUAACGCGUGAGAAUCUAGCUUCAGGUCUGGGACAACCACUGGAAACGGUGGCUAAUACCGGAUGUGCCGGAAGGUGAAAGGCUUGCUGCCUGAAGAUGAGCUCGCGUCCGAUUAGCUAGUAGGUGGGGUAAGAGCCUACCUAGGCGACGAUCGGUAGCUGGUCUGAGAGGAUGACCAGCCACACUGGGACUGAGACACGGCCCAGACUCCUACGGGAGGCAGCAGUGGGGAAUUUUCCGCAAUGGGCGAAAGCCUGACGGAGCAAUACCGCGUGAGGGAGGAAGGCUCUUGGGUUGUAAACCUCUUUUCUCAGGGAAGAACACAAUGACGGUACCUGAGGAAUCAGCAUCGGCUAACUCCGUGCCAGCAGCCGCGGUAAUACGGAGGAUGCAAGCGUUAUCCGGAAUGAUUGGGCGUAAAGCGUCCGCAGGUGGCUGUGUAAGUCUGCUGUCAAAGAGCAAAGCUCAACUUUGUAAAGGCAGUGGAAACUACACGGCUAGAGUGCGUUCGGGGCAGAGGGAAUUCCUGGUGUAGCGGUGAAAUGCGUAGAGAUCAGGAAGAACACCGGUGGCGAAGGCGCUCUGCUAGGCCGCAACUGACACUGAGGGACGAGAGCUAGGGGAGCGAAUGGGAUUAAAGACCCCAGUAGUCCUAGCUGUAAACGAUGGA